Molecule: long non-coding RNA, 1086 nt
Filed under: Nicotiana benthamiana
Lineage: Eukaryota; Viridiplantae; Streptophyta; Magnoliopsida; Solanales; Solanaceae
Description: long non-coding RNA (NBEN_LNC025633)
Source: RNAcentral
UAGUUUUAGAUUUACGUCAGUUUCUUGCACUGCAAAUAAACAAAUCCUAGCCUGCAACUUCCACUGAAAUGAAGUAGAAACACAAAAACUAACAAUAAAAUAAACAAGUGCUUUGCCUUUUCCUUUUUGGCUUCAACAAUCAAUAAGAAUGCCUUCCACUCAUGAACAAACACAGAUCUUCACUCUUUCUUUCCUUCUCCUUUCCUUUGCUUUUUUCCCAUGAAAAACUCAUGCUUCAAAGCUAAGAACAACAUCUUAAACUCACAAUUCACAACUAUAUAAAUAGCAAACUUUACAAGCUAACAAUCCGUCAUCAUUUAACUAACUCUUCAACCUCCGAAAAAGCGCGAAGAACACUAAAAGAAGUUUAUAUAUUAAGCUUCAAAAUGGAUCAACACCAAAAGGGUUCUUCAAAUAUGAAGGGGUUGGACAAAGAUGGUGAAAGAAGAGAGAGAAUCGCGUCGACAAGAAGGUUCUUGAUGGAAGAUGUGAACGAAUCUGCUGAUGAUUUUAUCAAGAAUUUCAGGAAGCAACUUAUGUUUGAAAGAAAAGAAUCAUUUAAACGUUUUCAGGAAAUGCUUAAUAGGGGAACUUAAAGUUGAUUCUUUUGUUUAGUUCUUUCUUGUGUGCUUGGAAUUGUAAUAUUCUCAAGUGAAUACAUAGUAUAUCUGUUCUGUCAUAGUUCUGAUUAGAAAAUAAAAUUGCGGAAACUUUAAGACAGUGGUCAACUUGUGUGCCGUGGAAGCAAUCAUUAAUAUUUGCAUUAGGUACAGUGUCUACAUCAUACCCCUAGGGUCGCGGACUUUAAUCGGACCUUCAUGAAUGCACAUGCUUUGUGUAAUGGACUACCCUUUAUUUGCUAAUCAAUGACAACACGAGAAGACCCUUAUUUGUGUAAAGAGAUUUUAGCUUGAGGAUAACAACAACAACAACAAAACAUGUGUAAUCCAUAAGUGGGGUCUGGUGAGGGUAGUGUGUAUGCAGACCUUACUACCUUACCUUAUAAAGGUAGAGAGGCUAUUUCUGAUAGACCCUCAGCUCAAAGAACAAUGAAUUUAGCUUGAGGAGAGAAUAUCUUUAUACCAA